GCCCAUUUCCAGAAAGUCCUCAUUGAGUUGCAUAUUUCUGUCAGGCCUGAGAAAACUGAUAGGCUAUUUGAGCUAUCCAGAAUGCGCAUAUAUGUAGUUUGGUAUCAGCUUUGUUUGCAUGUCUGAAGACUUGGCAUUUAGGUAGUGGAGCUUAGCUAUGGGGGAUACUUGAUUUUAGUUUAUUGGAUUCUUCUAAAUGCUGUGCAUUCUGCUAUGGUUAACUGAAAAAUGUGCUUAUCUGGUUAGUAGUGCUGAUAAAAUAGGCCUUUAACAGCAACAGUUUAAUAGAAUAUCGAUAAGAUUUGGAAGGCACCUCGAAUAACAUUUUAGUGUAGCCACUCUACCUGGUGCUUGACUGCAACUUUUGAAAUUUGUAAAAGAAGAGAGAAAAUAAAAUCAGGAAUGGUAAUUUCCCC
Molecule: long non-coding RNA, 416 nt
Filed under: Bos taurus (domestic cattle)
Lineage: Eukaryota; Metazoa; Chordata; Mammalia; Artiodactyla; Bovidae
Description: long non-coding RNA NONBTAT011461
Source: RNAcentral